GUAGUCAUAUGCUUGUCUCAAAGAUUAAGCCAUGCAUGUCUAAGUAUAAGCAAUCUAUACAGUGAAACUGCGAAUGGCUCAUUGAAUCAGUUAUCGUUUAUUUGAUAGUACCUUACUACUUGGAUAACCGUGGUAAUUCUAGAGCUAAUACACGCUAAAAACCCCGACUUCGGAAGGGGUGUAUUUAUUAGAUAAAAAACCAAUGCUCUUCGGGGCUCCUUGGUGAUUCAUAAUAACUUAACGAAUCGCAUGGCCUUGUGCCGGCGAUGGUUCAUUCAAAUUUCUGCCCUAUCAACUUUCGAUGGUAGGAUAGUGGCCUACCAUGGUUUCAACGGGUAACGGGGAAU
Molecule: ribosomal RNA, 347 nt
Filed under: uncultured fungus
Lineage: Eukaryota; Fungi
Description: SSU rRNA
Rfam family: Eukaryotic small subunit ribosomal RNA
Source: RNAcentral